UACGGAGGAUGCGAGCGUUAUCCGGAUUUAUUGGGUUUAAAGGGUGCGUAGGCGGUUUUGUAAGUCAGUGGUGAAAGUUUGCGGCUCAACCGUAAAAUUGCCAUUGAAACUGCAGAACUUGAGUACAGUAGAGGUAAGUGGAAUUCGUAGUGUAGCGGUGGAAUGCUUAGAUAUUACGAAGAACUCCAAUUGCGAAGGCAGCUUGCUGGACUGUAACUGACGCUGAGGCACGAAAGUGUGGGGAUCAAACAGG
Molecule: ribosomal RNA, 253 nt
Filed under: uncultured bacterium
Lineage: Bacteria
Description: partial 16S ribosomal RNA
Rfam family: Bacterial small subunit ribosomal RNA
Source: RNAcentral